This 301-nucleotide ribosomal RNA is filed under the name uncultured bacterium. Its description in RNAcentral is "partial 16S ribosomal RNA". It matches the Rfam family "Bacterial small subunit ribosomal RNA", at positions 509 to 807 of the family's 1533-position model. The record is from RNAcentral.
CAGCCGCCGCGGUAAUACGAGGGGGGCAAGCGUUGUUCGGAAUUAUUGGGCGUAAAGGGUGCGUAGGCGGCUUGACAAGUCUUGUGUGAAAUCUAUGGGCUCAACCCAUAGUCUGCACGGGAAACUGUCGGGCUUGAGAAUGGGAGAGGUGAGUGGAGUUUCCGGUGUAGCGGUGAAAUGCGUAGAUAUCGGAAGGAACACCUGUGGCGAAAGCGGCUCACUGGACCAUUUCUGACGCUGAUGCACGAAAGCUAGGGGAGCAAACAGGAUUAGAUACCCCCGUAGUCACUGUCUCUUAUAC